RNAcentral lists this long non-coding RNA (13079 nucleotides) under Medicago truncatula (barrel medic). Its description in RNAcentral is "long non-coding RNA (MTRU_LNC003849)". Lineage: Eukaryota; Viridiplantae; Streptophyta; Magnoliopsida; Fabales; Fabaceae. The record is from RNAcentral.
CUUCGAUUAUUUGUUUCUCCACCAAAAUUCAACCACCCUUUUGAAUAAAUCUCAUUUAUCCCUAUAGGGUCUCUUAUAAUGGACCUAUCAAAAAAAGGUGUUAGAUAUUGAGGUAAUGACAAAGAGGGUGUGUUUUUUUCAAGGUUGGAACAAAAAUAAGACCAAGCUUUCAUAAACAAAGUUGAAGAUUUUCCAUCAACAGCUGCAUGGUGUGUGGUUAUACCAAUACAAAAUCCAUGGUUAGGAAAAAAAGUGACUUGUAGUGAAAUAAUUGAUGCUUUUUCAUGUGAAAUUUCCAAACUUGGGAUCAAGUGUUGUUUUUUUUCAACUUCACAAAGAUUUGAACAUAAAAGGUUGAAAUUUUCAUUUGAUUCAGCUACAAUCAAUAGAAUGGAAUCACUAGGGACAUAGUUGAUGAUAGGGUGUGGUGAAUCUUGUGGCCAUGUGAUGUUACCAACAAGAAGGAGGAAGUGGUUGAGUGUGAGCUCAAGGGAAUGUUUGAGAUUUGGAAGAAUGGAAUCAAAGAAAAAAUUGGUAGAUAAAUUGGUGUGUUCAUAGAAGAACAAACGUUCAACCGGUGGAAAUCUUACCCAAAGUGUGUCAAAGAAAGUGAAGGGAAAAGUAGUUGGGGAGGUUUCAUUUUUUGGUGAUAUUGAAAAAACUUGAUGAACUUUGUGAGAUUGUGCCAUAAGGGAGGGAAGAAAUUGAUGAGGAAGUGAGGCUUGGCAAUUUGUUGACUUUAUAAACAGUUUAUGAUGAUGACGAUGAUGAUACAUAGGCUAUGAAUGUGCUCUCAAUAUAAUAAUAAUAAUAAUAAUAUAAUAAUACAUUCUUUAUAAAUCAAUUCCUUAAGGUAUCCAAUUUAUUUGCAUACAAAUAGUGCAUACAAACAAUUUCAACACUAAUAGUGCAUACAAAUCAAUUCCUUAAGGUAUCCAAUUUAUUUGGAGGAAAGAUGUCCCGUUUAAGAUAUCGGUAUUUGCUUGACGACUUUUUCGUAAUAGAUUGUCUACGAAUGAUAAUUUAUUUUAAAGGAGGAUUAUAUAGGAAUAUGCUCAGUUGUGUGCUUCUGGAUGUGGGAUGUUUGAAUCGGCGGAUCACCUAUUUUUGCAUUGCGAUGUGUUUGGUCAGGUUUGACAACUUGUUCGUCAUUGGUUAGGUGUUUCUUCAAUAAACCCAUUAACCACCUCGGAUCAUUAUCUUCAGUUUUGUAUUUCUUCUGGUUUUGCUAAUUCCAGAUGCUCUUUUAUGCAUUUAGUAUGGUUUGCAAGCAUUUGGGCAAUUUAGAAGGAAAAGAAUGCAAGAAUAUUUUGUGUAAAAGAAUCAUAAGUUCAAAUCUAGGUCACCACAUUUCACCUCGCUUAUGUGUGUGUUUAUUUGAAUAUUUGUUGGUGACUAAGCUAAUAAAAAAAAUACGCAGUAAGAUUCAAUAACAUGAUUUUUUAGUUUGUACAAAAAAAACAUAAUUUUUUAGUUUCCUCCUUGUUUUUUAGGACGAAGGAGGGUGCAAGAUAAUUAAAGUGGCUUCUUAUAAUUUUUUAUUUUAUAACAAUGAUAGUUUUAUUAAAUGCUAAAACUGUUUAAACAUUCAAUAUAUUAAGUUUUUUUUUUUGUUACGGUCAAUGCUUUUCUUAGUGUCAAUAUUAAAGAUAUAAAAAAAAAAAAAUUAAAAAACCGUUUAUGGGAUUUUAUUCUUCAUUAUUGAAGGCUGGAUCUAACCUAAGGAUCCAUCUAGACUUCAUAACGUGCAAAUCAAUAUUAGUUAAUGAUCUAGUCACGAUGAUUAUUUAUACUCAGUGUCUUACAUACUUCAAAUAUACUUAACUUUACUAGAGGAAACCUAAAACUUAUUUUCUCUGAUCACAUUUAUAGUAGAUAUUCGUCCGUUAUUUAAUUAAUCUAGAAAAUGAAUAGUUGUUUAUAAUUUUUGUUUUGGUAGUGUAUAGUUGUUUAUUAUUUUUUUUGACAAAAAUAAAAUGAUAUUCAUUCAUUCAAAUCGAGAGAUUACAUCAUUCAACACCGCUAAAAACGUAAAGGAUGAAUCUGCGAACAAACUUACAUCAUCUAAGUUAAUAGCAUAUAACAACAUAAUGCCUACAAAAAUAUAUGAUAAAAUUAAAGUGAUCGGAAUAUCCAUGACCUCCGAAUCUGCAACGUUGAUGCCCAAAUCUUUGAUUGAAUAAUCGAUCUUUCAAUAUGAAUCAAAUGAACACCUCACGAAGACGGGAAAUCAAACAACACCGCACAAGACGACGAACAACAAACCACCACACUUAGAUGAUGAAAUCACAAAGGAAAAACAAAAAAACCUAGAUCUAUAUAUGUGAAAAUCACUUAUUUAGAUUGAAAUAGAGAGAAAAGAUGAAGAUGAGUGAUUUCAGGUCAAGAAUUGACCCAAAACCACCCCUCAAUGGAGAAACUGUAAGAGAAAACCUAAAGAGAUAAAACUAGAUUUGCCUUAUUAGUGUAUAGUUGUUUAUAAAUGUAACAAGAAUUUUAUAUUUUUAAUGUCAUAUAGUUUUUUUGUUAUAUCACUAACAACAUAGCCUUAAUAUUUAAUACUACUAAUUUUAUUUUUUUUGAAAGAAUUUAAUACUACUAUUUUGAAAACUCGUAUAACAUGCAUUCAAUGAAGGGCGUAAGCCCUCUUUUACCACAAAAAAAAAAACUCGUAAUGGAUGUUGCUAUCAACGUAGUCGUGAGUCUAUGAGAAACGAAUCUUAAUUGUUGAGUUAGGUCAAUACAUUUGUCUCACCAACUCCGUCAUAUGCAUCCAAGCAGGCAGGCAGCUGUAUAUCAUUUGGAUUUGGAAGCUUCUUUUCUACUUUUGAAAAUCAUUUCUAAAAUAUACUAAAAAAUUUAAAAAUUUAUGUCAUUCUAAGACAAAAAUACUUUUUUAUUUAUUUCCAAAAUACAUUUUUUUAUGUGAAAAAAUAUAUUUUCAUAUUUGUGGUAGGAGAGAGAAGCUCUCAUUUCAUUUAACAUAUUUUAAAAGAGAUAUUUGAGUCAAAAAAAAUUAAUGUAUCUGAUCAAAAUAAAACCAAAUACAUCUAUCCGUUGAUUUAAAUGUUUUUUAUAUCUAUAAUUGGGAUUGUAUGAACUUAGUUUUUCAUUUUGUAUGGCAAGCAUAUGAGUUAUGUCCACACUUUUAUUAUCGCAAAAUUAAAUGACGUGGUAGUUAACAAUUGUUUCAAUGUUGUUUUUCAUUUGAAUUAAACAUUCAAGACAUUGUUUAGUUUUAUCUUCUUUCUAAUGUACUUUUAGUUGCUUCAUCAUGUAUAAUAUUAUAUAUGUUAGACAAAUCUCUCUAUUUGCUAAAAAAAAAGAGACAAAUCUCUCUAUCUCCAUGUAUAUUCCAUACUUAAAGCUUAUCUCUAUGUAUAUUCUAUACUUAAUGCUUAUUUUUGUCUAAACUUAAUCUUAGCUUGGCUCAGAUGGCUCAUAUAUGUCAAUGUAUUUUGAUAGUUGCGGCUGUGUUGAAUUGUAAAUUUAAAACAUUUUAAUAUAUGGGGUUUAAGUUGAUUUUAAUUAAUUAUGUGUUGAUGGUACGUGAGUCGACUUCGUGUUAACGAUCGAUUCAUUUGCUAAAUGUUAGAUCCGAGCUUGAUUGUUAGAAUUGUUUAAGAUUGGAUCUACUUUAUGGAUAUUUUAGGGUUGUUGACCGAGUCAGGUUUUAUGUCCCUCCAAUUUUUAUGUAUUUUUUAAUAAUAUAUAUGAAUAAUUGACACUGAUUAGAGUAACAUACCAACUUAGUUGGACACUAUUCCUUUUUAUGUCAUUUUACUCUUAGCUUAUAAAAAAUUUAAUCAUGUGUUUUUUUUAUAAAAUAUUUUCUUUCAAAAACAAAAAUCUUAAGAAAAAAAGUGAUGUUAACAAAGAAAAAGGGGUUAAAAUCCUCUCCAUUCACUAUUUAUUUUUUGUUCAUUGAGGUGACAAAACAAAAGACCAGCACUAGGAGUAUCAAUAUAGCAAUGCAAGGGGGAGUUGGAAGUAAAGAAAUUGUCACGUUUUCCAACUAAUAGCAUGUUUGGAUUUAUGUUGCAGUGCCUUUUUCGAGUCUCAUUGCGUUCUAGACGUGAUAAUAAAGAAGCUUUAAUUUGUAGAGUUUGGAAAAACGUACGUUUGGUGGUAUCCCACUGUGGAAACAAACACAAGUUAAAGGAGGAACAACGGCAAACACUUUGUGAAACAAUUGAGCUUAAGACGUUUUGGUGAUUGAAAUCAAAAUAUAUUACAUUCGAUUUUGAUUACUAUUUUUUGAAGGAUUAAUCAUAUUCAUUGUUUGUCUUUUUUUUUAAGAGCAAUGAUACAUGGACAUUCCCAUGUGGCAUACCACCAUCUACACCCUUCCAUGUGGCAUUUUUUUAUUAGUUAUAAUGGGCAAUUUUGUCUUUAAAAAUAAAAUGAGGGGCAAUUUUGUCCAAUACACUCACAACAACUUUCUCACCCUCUCUUUUCUGUCUUUCUUCUCCUUUACCGGCCACCACCACCAACUCCCACCGGCCACCGUUGUCCUCCGUCCUCAACCUCAAAUAUCACAUCUACCACCACCAUCGCCACCGUCCAAAAGCUAGAUCUCACAACCGUCGCCCUCGUCUCGAAGCUCAGAUCUCACCACCACUGCAGCCACCACAACCACCGUCAUUUUCAGAUCUAAACACACCCAUCGAUCGUCAUCAUUAACCUCUCAUCUCGACGCCUCCACCACCACCGUCCUCGCACUCUUUCUCCAAAACACAACAACAACAAUUUUAAACAAACCCAAAACAAGAGACGGCGAUGGCGUCGGAAUUUGAGGAAACAAGUGGCAGAGAGAAAGAGGUGAGGGAGAAGAGAGAAAUAGAGACAACCAUUUGAGGAGAAGGAGAGAAAAAAAUCAGAAUAGAGAGAUAUGAGGAGAAAGAGGAGAUCGGCAGGAAGAGAGAAGGAGAAAAUAAAAUUAGGGAGAGAGAAAGAUGAGAUAAGAUUUCAGGGGAGAGAGUGACAAAAAAUUUAAAAUUAAAAUGCCAUGUAGGAGGUGUACAAUGUGGUAGAGAAAAAAGGAGGUCUAUGAUGUAUCCUUUUUCUUUUUUUAAAGUUGUUCCUCUCUUUUUUUGCUUAUCCUUUAUUGAAUUUGUGAUGUAACAUUGUAACUCUUGUAAGUUUUUCCGAUAAACCUUGAGUUGGAAGGAGAAAUAAUACAAAGGUAAGGGACAUAGACCAAACCCACAAUGAACAUAAGGAAAUUUAUGAUUAUGCAAAGUUGAAUAUAUUCAUAAAGAAAUCCACCUACAAAAGCUUUGUCAUCGCAUUCCACCAACUAAAAUCAGAAAUGAUCAUACAAAUGAAACUAACCAAAAUAUGAAAAUUCUAUUAAUGAUGAUAUAAGUAUCUACCGAGUUCCCUUAAAAAAAAUAGUCUAUACCGAGUCCAAAACAACUAAAAUACUCGUAUGAGUUUAUACAAAUAAGUACUCCGUCCUAAAUUAUAAGUAAAAAAAACCUAUUUUCUUUGUCCCAAAUUAUAAAUAAAAAAGACUAACUUUUAUCAUAUUCAAAUAUGUUUUUUUAAAAAAUUAUCUUUUUCAAAGGAAAAUUAAAUGCAAAAUGCAUUCAAUUUGCUCUCAUUUUCAUUUUCUCUAUAAUCAACUACCAAUGAAAAUUAUUUUUACAUCUUCCUAUAAAACUUAUUUCAAAGAUAACACAAAAAACUAUGUUACAAACUACUACCUAUAUUUUAAUUUUUUUAAUAAAUGUGAUUUAUGUUUUUUUGCUUAUAAUAUAAAACGGAGGGAGUAUAUUCAUUAAUUUAACCAAGAAUGGUGUACUGUACCCAACAUAUUUAAAGUGUAUCAGUUCAGUUCAUCAAGAAUGAUUAAACACAUAUUUUAUCAUUAUUUAUGAAUCAUAUGCAUGAUUCGAUUAAUUAAUUGAGACUAAAUUAGAUAUUUAGUUUCAUAAUUGAUUUUAUAGUUUUAUUUGGUCUCAUAACUACAACUACUUGCGCAUUGGUCCCUAAAAUAGAUUUUCGUUAGUGGUCUCAUUAUGUCAAUUUAAACCUCAAAUGUUUAAGGUGGAUCAACAUUGUAGGUACUACAAUAGAUCUCAUUAUAUAUAUAAUUUUAACCAUUAUAUUUUUUUAUAAAAAAUGGGGAUCAUUGGAUAUCAUGUAGAUCUAUUAUAUCUUAUCGUAAACUAUAACACCCUACUUCUAUUAAAGCAAUUAAACAUGCGAAUAAUACAUUUAUUCAAGAAAUAGAGGCUACGCCACAUUCAAAAUUCAAAAAACCAAUAAACAUGUAUAUAAACCUCAACAGUCGCAGCGGAAUAUUAACCAGAGUAAAUCCAAGUAUACAUGUUAUGAAUCAAUAAAUUACAUCAACAUCGAUGCAUCUCAAAAAUCCCAACAAACGGGUAAUCUCCAAUCAUAACAAAAUCCAAAAUAUAAGAUAAUCUAGACCGACACAACGAAGCCUAGAUCAGAGCCGACUAAACAUCUAAACACCGAUAUCGGAGAAAGCUCGCGAUAUCCACCAAGCACAAUACUCACCAAGCAUCCUACACUUGCACAACGUCUACCCAUCCAUACAGAUAGGCAGGCGGUCCAUAACAGAUCCACUGGGGGUAAGUAUUACAUUAUCAUAAUACAAAUAACAAAUAACAUAAAUAUUUCAAUUUAAACAUCAUGCAAUUGAUCAAUAAUAAUAACACAUUAAUACUUACAUCACACCCCGAUAUCUCACAUCAAUAUUCAUCAAUCAUAUGAACAAUUAUCAAUUUACAAAUAUUCAUUCACAAUCACCAAUCACAUUUAUCAUGAAUAAUCAUUAAUCACAUUUCAUGAACAAUCACCAAUUACAUGUAUCAUGAAUAAAUAUCAAUUAACAGUUAUUCAUACACAAUCACCAAUCAUAUACAUCAUGAACAAUCACCAAUCAUAAGCCAUGAACAUUCACCAAUUACAUUUCAUGAACAAACAUCAUUCACAUGUAUCACGUACAAUCAUCAACACAAGUAUCAAGGGCAAUCAUCAAUCACAUACAUCAUUUAAGACUCAUGUCAUGAUAUGCACUUAUUGACACAUAAAUGCAUGUGGUACCAAAUCUCAACAAGGUCGUCACCUUUCGAUGCCACUUGCACAUCGUAUGUAAGGCUCACACCUGCCUUACAAUAAUCUCGAAGUAAAAGAGCUCAACCCUUUUACAACAACAUCGACUAUGAUGCAUGGACAUGUAUAAGGACUCGAUAAUGCGACAACAAUUAACAAUCUCAACCUCAAUAUAUAGGACAACACCCAAUUAUAUUGAUUAUCUCCACAACAUUGCAUUAUCAAGAAAACAUGCCCACACAAAUAAAUCAUAGCAUUCACCAUCACACCUCAACAUGAUUAUCAAUAAUCAACAAUGUCAUCCAACAUCAACUAUCACAUAUAGUUUCACCAUUUCAAACAAUUCUCAUAUUCCAAGUAAGAGAACAUACAACAUCUCAUGACAAAUAUCAUAUCCAACAUAUAAUCAUUCAACAUCAACUAUCACAUAUAGUUUCACCAUUCAAGCAUUCCUUACAUUCUAAGUAAGAUAGCAUACACAUCUCAUGAUAAACAUCAUAUCCAAUACAAUCAUUCAUUCAAACAUCUUCACUUAGUCAUAUAAGGAUAGUCACGAUAGAUUAUAAGAAAAUUGGUUCAAAGGAAACAUUUCCGACAAAAACCGUAUCAAGUGGCAAAAGGCCAACAUUGAUAAUUCCCAAGACAAAGCAACUUAGACAAAUUGAAAGCUCUCAAAAAAUCUUAAUCAAUAAUGUAGUCAUGAGCUUAAGCCACUUACAAACUAUUAGACAUCAGUUCAAAGAAUAACUUAAGUUCGUAUGAGAAAACCCAAUUUCACAAUCUUUCACAUUCCCAUCCGAAAUAUCAUUUUUGACAUGAUUAAGAUGUUUGACCAACCAUACAAGUCUUACCUAAGUCUAUAAGAGAUGUAGGUUUAACUUGUAAUCCUAUUUAGUUCACAAAAGUUCAUUUUGACAAAAUCCGACAUUUCCUAAAAUUCCAAGUUCCAUAUCAUUUCUUCCAUAUUUCAAAACCAAUUCAUUUUCAAAACAAAAACCAAGUUAGGAUCAAGCUAUGAUACUCUUAGAAGCUUAAUUAUAAAUUGAUUGAAUAAGGUUAAGAGUUUGGAAUCCAUUGGCAUGCUUAAAAGUACACAAAAACACGAAAAAACGAGGUUUCGGAAUUCUGCAGAACUGACACGGUCGUGCCAUCAGGAAGCACGGUCGUGCUCCCUUUACAGGAGAAACUGACACGGUCGUGUCAUCUAGACGCACGGUCGUGUCACCUCACCAGUACAGCAAAAUGCAUUUUUACGUUUUUGCGCAUAAAAUCUUGUUUUCGAAUCCGAUUUCAAUUCCGUUUUCGCCAAUGAAUUCCUAACACUUAGACCAUACAAACCACACUUGAAAACUUGACAUUUAAACAUUAAAACAACUUAAUCAACUCAUCCCAAAAUGACUUAUUUUGCAAAAGCACUUAAAAACCACUUUUACUCAAAAACCCGUUUUCUUCCCAAAACGAUUUCUCUCCAAAACCAAGUGAUUAAAACAGAAAAUCAUACCAUCAUAAUUCAUUAUAACAACUUCCUUAUCUCAUUCAACAUCAUCAAAAUCAAACUUCUUCUUUAUCAACCCAUUUUACAAAACCACCAACAACAACUCAUUUUCUCAACAACAAUCAUGAUAUAUGAACACCCAAGCCAAAAUUCAUGAUCAACAACAUAUCUCAGCAACAACAACAUCAAUUGAAACUUGAUUCACACACCAAUUCAACAACAACAUGUCAUAAGUCAUCAAUUAAGCAUAAUUUCACAACAACCCAUUUUCAUACAUUAUGAACAUAUUAUUUCAUCAUCAACCAUUCAUUUAACAUCAAAUAACAUAUCCAAACAUAUCUCUACAACAUAAGCACGAAUUUCAAAGAUUGGGUUCAUGAUAAUCACUUAUUCUCAUAAUCAAUUAUGCAUAAAAUCAAGAGAAAAAGAAUUAAACAAAUGAUUAUGAUAAAGACUAACCCCCUUACCUUUGAAGAUGAUUAUUCCUAAACUCUUGCUUCAAUUCAGCUCCUAAUCUUACCCCAAUUAUUCCUCAAGCUAUUCUCUUCAAAACCCUUGUUCUUCUCAUCACCUCUUUCUCUCUCUAGGAAAAUUUUAGUGAAGUGAACGAAAGAUAUUUUCUAUGACAACCCUAAUGUUAUCUCCCUUAAUGGGCUUAACUCAAAAUGCUAAUGGGCCUAACCCAUUCUAACAUAAUUCUAAAAAGUUUCUAUACACCCCACGGUAAUUACUAACAACGGUAAAACAUAACCAACUGUCACUAACGGUAAAAACUAAUCACAACACUAGUAACUUAGUAAAAUAAGGGUUCUCACUUAAUAUGAAAAUAAUUCUCACCCAAAUUACCAUUUUACCCUUACCCGUCAAAUGACCAAAAUACCCUCCUAAUACGGAAAUCCAUGUAAAUGCACCCACUGACAAUUAAUUACACACAAGCACCAAUAAUCACACACAAACACAUAAUAAAAGUAAUUAAAAUAAAUCUAGCUAAAAAUCGGGCUGUUACAUAAACCACCAACAAUUAAUUUUUUAUUUUUGUUUUAAAAAAAUAAUAAUUUACUUUUCUUCAUCUUCUUCCUCCAUCUUCUUCUUCCUCAUCUUCUUACACAUUCAAACCUAUAAAAUAAAGCUGAAUUUUUUUUUUAUAAACUUGAUCUUCAUCUCUUCUUCUCUCAAAAGUUUAAAACUCAAUUCAUUUUUAUAAAAACUCAAAUUCAGGAGUUUCCCUCCUUCCAAAUACUUCAAAACAAACCAUUUAUUAAGAAAGUGAGAAAGAGAGAAAUGAUUCAUUAACUUGAAUAGAAGUUCAUGAAGGUAUUUUUAUACAUUUCUCAAAUGUACUAUAUAUCUAAGAUGAAGUGUACUACAUAAAAUAACCUAAUUGUACAACACUAGCUUUGUGACUUGUACUGCAAGCUAUCUUCAUUCUCAUGCUUUUUAUCCUUUGAAUCUAAUAGCAUUCGAAUUAGAUGCAAACAAGACUGAGUAUUUUCGGAGAAUAAAGCAAAGCCACCAGACUAAAUAGAAUGAUCAACAACAAAAUUAGAACUAAAUCCUAAAUUUUAUCAGAAAAUUCACAUUCAAAAAACAAAUGAUUAACAGUUUCAUCUUUUCAAAAAAACAAUUUCAUCUUUCUCACAUCCUAUAGUAAUAACAAGAGAUUCAGAACGAAGAAUCUCACGACGAACUAAAUUGGCCUUUGUAGAAAUCCUAUUAUUGAGAAGCCACCAAUCAAACAAGGACAAUUUCAACAAAGUUGUUUUAUUCCAACUAACAUUCAAGAGAGCUGAAGAUGUUGGAUAAAUUAUUUAAUUAAUCAAUUAUAAAUUGAUUCUAACAAAUUUUCAGAAAUUAUUUUUAAUACUACUAUAAAUUAUGGUACAUUAAUGUUUUAAGAAUUAAGUAAUUGAUGAAUAUGUGUGUUAGACUCUUUUUCUGAAUGGACAUGAUGGAUCAAACCAUACAAUUAAGCUCAAUUCGAGGUUCGUGUCCUCGAUCGUUUAACUAAUUCAAAGUCAUCCUAUCAAACGGUUAAACAUAAAACAAUAAUGUAAUAUGUGUAUGCAUUCAUGAUCUAUCUUUGAUAAUGUAAAAUAUAUGUUGUAAUUUGUAUUUUGAUAUGGCUAACUCUGUUAAAUUCAACAAUGGUAUCGGAGAAAAAAUAUAUAUUUUAUGGGUAUUUGUUUUUGAAUCGUCUGAACGGAAUAUGUUUUCCCCGUAUACUUAUUUUCAAUUGUUUGCAUGGGGCUAUUGUAUUGUUUGUUAAACCCUAUGAAGAAAAUUGUUAGAAGGGCUAUGAUGUACUACUGUCGUACUGAGAGAUGUCAAUGAAUGACUAAUGGUUAGAAGGGUUUACGAAAUUCCUUGGAGUCACUGCUGAUUAUUAUAUGGUUGAAUUAUGGGGAAUUUAUGAGCGUCUUUGCAUAGCAAGACUCUUUGGUAGUUGUUUAGAACACAAGGCAUGAGAAUAAUGAUAGUGUUAUGGAUAUAAAUCUUAUGAAGAAAAUCGUAGUGUGAGAAUCAAACUUUAAAUCUUGAGAAAGAGUACAUUUCAAAAAUCCAAGUCAAAACCAUCAGUGAGAAAGUCGAAUGAGUCAAACUAAGAGAUUUUGAUCACUCAUGUGUCUCAAAAAGCUAACAUGAGUUAUAAAAUUUUGAAUUUUUUUCACAGUCAUAUUUAGUUCAUUAUAAAAUUUUGAUUUUUUUUCACAGUCUUAUUUAGUUCAUUAUAAAAUUUUCUCUUACAAAAGUUUAAGUUUUUUAAAAAUGAAUGAAUUAAAUGUUAAUUUUUUACGUUUUGCUGCUUUAAAAUUCAUAUUUUGUUAAAAAAAAUCUUUUUUUUUUUCAAUCAAAAGAAAAUAUAAAAAAAAGAGGAAAUAGAAAAGCUAAGGGGGCAUAAACCUGACUCAACAAUCACAUAAUCAACCCAUAAAGCGUAUUACAACAGUGAUUAAACAAAAGUGGUAUAAAGAUACAAAUGCUUUGCGGUCAAAUACACAAGUACAAUUCGGCAAACCCAACGCGGGAUACGAAACCAAAUUUCAAAAGAAAGUGACGUAAAAAACAACAAGCAUAACCAUCAAACCAGACUAGAGACGAAUCUAAAUGAAAUUCAAACUCUUUUUUUUUUUUUUUUUUGUGGCGUAUGAACUGCCGCCAACACGGACAGAUUCACUGACCACCUACCGCUACAAAUAAAGACAGCAAGCAUCGCGGCCCUUUCGAGCACAACAAACUCUAAAAAAAAAUAUCUAUUUUGAGAGAAACCAUUCUUGUAAAAGAAAAACAUUGAGAGAAAAAGUAGAUGGAACAUGGCAUAACAUUCAUUAAUUCGAUCUAACAAAAUUGAUAUCUAAGAUGUGUGAGUGUUGUAAAUCCUUCAAAUUUACAAGGAUUCAAGUCCUUGAACAAAAAGUCGAGCAAAAUCUUCCAUUUGUUGCUUGUUCAAAGUCAAACCAAUCUCAAUUCCACCAUCAUUAUUCCUAUUUCCCGAAAGAUAAAAAGCUCCUGGUCUAUCAACCGAAGUAACAUCAACUUUCUUAGGCUUACCCCACCCAAAAUCAAAACUAUACACCUCAAACCUAGGUGACCCGGUAAUAGAAAAAAUCUUAUAAGUCUCAUCCGUUCUAGAUGUUUUAGAUUGCAUCAUUGACAUCCAAUUUUCCAAACCAUUUAACACACCAUUUUCCAAAUCAUUCAACACAUCAAUUAUCCCUUUAAGAGCACUAAUAAACCCACCAUCUUCCAACAAUGCCUCAGUUUCAUGCACAACUAAUCUUGACACAAUACAAUUCCCAAAAUAAUUUUCAUUAAUUGGUGGAUCCAAGCGUGACCUACAAUCAACAGCAAAAACCAAAAAUGCCUUAUUGGGUUUUUGUUGGUCAACUUUAACCCCUAAUGACAACAAAUAAGCACAUGUAACCGCAAAAGUUGAAACCUUUUUAUUUUCAACCUUAGAUUGUGCAUAUUUCUUAAGCUUUUGAAUAUCCAAAAGUGAUAAUUCAAACAAACCUUUGAUUGCUUCACCUUUUGUUGCACUUAUUGUUUGCCAAACCUUUAAGCUACGAUUAUUUGUUUCUCCACCAAAAUUCAUCCAUUUUUUUGAAUGAAUUUCAUUUAUUCCUAAAGGGUCUUUUAUAAUGGACCUAUCAAAAAAAGGUGUUAGAUUUUGAGGUAAAAACAAAGAGGGUGUGUUUUUUUCAAGGUUGGAACAAAAAUAAGACCAAGCUUUCAUAAACAAGGUUGAAGAUUUUCCAUCAACAGCUGCAUGGUGUGUGGUUAUACCAAUACAAAAUCCAUGGUUAGGAAAAAAAGUGACUUGUAGUGAAAUAAUUGAUGCUUUUUCAUGUGAAAUUUCCAAACUUGGGAUUAAGUUUUUUCUUUUUUCAACUUCACAAAGAUUGGAACAUAAAAUAUUGAAAUUUUCAUUUGACUCAGCUACAAUUAAGGGAAUGGAAUCACUAGGGACAUAGUUGAUGAUGGGAUGUGAUGAAUCUUG